RNAcentral lists this ribosomal RNA (431 nucleotides) under uncultured bacterium. RNAcentral describes it as "partial 16S ribosomal RNA". It matches the Rfam family "Bacterial small subunit ribosomal RNA", at positions 29 to 507 of the family's 1533-position model. The record is from RNAcentral.
AACGAACGCUGGCGGCAGGCUUAACACAUGCAAGUCGAGCGCCCCGCCAGGGGAGCGGCCGACGGGUGAGUAACGCGUGGGAACGUACCUUUUGGUUCGGAACAACUCCGGGAAACUGGAGCUAAUACCGGAUAAGCCCUAACGGGGAAAGAUUUAUCGCCGAAAGAUCGGCCCGCGUCUGAUUAGCUAGUUGGUGAGGUAACGGCUCACCAAGGCGACGAUCAGUAGCUGGUCUGAGAGGAUGAUCAGCCACACUGGGACUGAGACACGGCCCAGACUCCUACGGGAAGCAGCAGUGGGGAAUAUUGGACAAUGGGCGCAAGCCUGAUCCAGCCAUGCCGCGUGAGUGAUGAAGGCCUUAGGGUUGUAAAGCUCUUUUGUCCGGGAAGAUAAUGACUGUACCGGAAGAAUAAGCCCCGGCUAACUUCGUG